Mya arenaria is the source of this 581-nucleotide long non-coding RNA. RefSeq lists it as uncharacterized. The record is from RefSeq and is a predicted model, not a curated record. The transcript has 4 exons. NCBI's taxonomy places the organism in Eukaryota, Metazoa, Mollusca, Bivalvia, Myida, Myidae.
UGGAAUACUUGAACCUAUUGAAUGAUUGAACCACUUUGUACGGUUUGAUAUAUCAGUUGUAUUUAACCUGUUGGUGGAUUUUACGACAAUUACGAUUUUGAACACCAACAAAAUGGACGACGAAGGUUCUGUGUGAUGAACAAUAGCCGAUUGUAGUUCCUAGUAAUGAGAAAUGGCUAGAUGUUAUACAAUAUCAUACUUCAUGAUGUCACCAACAAUGUCAUGUUCUGAGUAUUGGAAAAUAGUUGGAGACUCAGCAGUGCAAAAACUAGUUAACUCAGAAUGUGUGUUCCAACUGACGGAUGAUAUUGUCAGAUAAGAGCACAUUGGCAUGUUGCAUACGUUGACUUUCUGAAUUACAGAAAAUAGUUUCAGUCAGGAUACCAGAACGCAUCACGACUUCCAGGGCAUGGCUUUAGCUCCUCCAGAAAGAACACUAGAAACACUUGAUUAUUUGUGUGAAAUACUUUGAAAUAAAAAAGACUCUUUCUGCAUAAUAUAAUUCCUAAAGAAAAUCAAUGAACCUAAAGAAUGAUUUACAUAUAUGUAAAAAUAUGUUCCAAUAAAAGUAUCAAUUUUUA